Molecule: long non-coding RNA, 1754 nt
Organism: Homo sapiens (human)
Lineage: Eukaryota; Metazoa; Chordata; Mammalia; Primates; Hominidae
Gene: VLDLR-AS1
Product: VLDLR antisense RNA 1
Source: Ensembl
CUUCCAUGGUCACAAACAAGAGGUCCCUGGAUCUACAGUAUCUAGGCCCACAUGCAAUAUGACUUUGCAACUCAUCCCAUCAGAGGAUGGAAACUAUUUCUUCACCCCCUUGAACCUGGGCUGGCUUUGUAAUUUGUUUUGGCCAAUAGAAUGUGGUGGAAGUGAUGGUGUUACCAGAAAGAGUUCCCAAUCCAGACUCGUGCGAGAAAGAAUUUGAGAAAUGAAAGAACCAGAGCAUUAUAGCAGAACGAAUCCUGGAAUGGGAAUGGAAUGCCUGGAUUUGUGGCACAGUUGGGAAGCGUCCUGGCCAUGCCAUGUUAAAGCUGUCUCCAAGGCAGUGAUUCUUACCCUUGGCUACACAUUGGAGUCAUUUGGGAAGCUAGAAAAAAAAAAUGCCCAGGACCUGGGCAAGACGGCUGAAUAAGAACAGCUCUGGUCUGCAGUUCCUAGCAAGAUCAACGCAGAAGGGAAGCUGGCAGCCUGGGCUCUUGGAGAUUGUAUCUGGUGCCGGAGAGGACUGGCUCCCACACUCAGUGAGGGAGGAAUUUUACUGACCCAGCAUCCAGAUGAACUUUGGUGAGGAGAGGAGGACAUAAGAGCCUGGUGGUUGAUGAUGGAAGAGAUGAAACUGUGAAGAGACCGAAGAAGCUAAUCUAUCAAUAGUUAAGAUUCCAUUUCUAAAAGAUCUUACUUUGAGUCUACCUAUGCCUGGGAUGUCAAGAGACGGAGUUUCACUGUUGUUGCCCAGGCUGGAGUGCAGUGGCGUGAUUUCAGCUCACGGCUACCUCUGCCUCCCGGGUUCAAGCAAUUCUCCUGCCUCAGCCUCCCAAGUAGCUGGGAUUACAGAUCAUCUCUCUACUGACCUUUUAGUGGCUUAGCAUUUUGUUGCAAUGCACAAGUGAAGUUGGGAAACAGAGCCAAGUGACAAGCUGUGAAGUAACAGCUCAGCCUUCACAAAGCAAAUGUGCUUUGUGCACUUCCUUGCCAGAGCAGAUGUGGCCUUGGUGGACUGUGGGGAGCAUCAUCUCUCAGGUAAAAAUAAAUUACUAAGAUUAGGACCAAAUGAUGCAAAUCCUUUCAUUUGCAAACAGAUCAUGAACUGGCAGCCAUGUGGAAAGAAGACUAGACUGCGAAUCACUUAGGAUCCCACCCUCGGUUUAGUCUAGAAUACUCUGCGAAUCAGCUUUUUGGCCCUAGGAAAGAGACAAAUGGAAGCAAAAUAGCAAAAUGGUGAAGAGGAGGGUUCUAGAGGCAGAGAGCCCUGCAGUCCUGAGUCCUGAGUCCACCGUUUAACAGAGUGACUUUGCUCAGCCUGUGGAUUAUAAUGAAACUUGCCUGUUAUAGGAUCCAGUUUUUUAGGUGGUAGCAACAUGCUCAAGGAAGAUGCAGCCCCUUCCUCCAGCCUGAGAGAAUAAAGCAUCAUUGGCUUAUGCCAACCAUGGCAAUCCCAUUCCCCUUUUCUCAUGAUUGAUUUGGGAAUGGGCAAGUGACCCAGUUCUAACCAAUGAGACGAAAGAAAAAGUCUAUUGGUCAGCUUAUCUCAGAAGAUUUUUGUUUCCUGCUAUAAAGAGAAACAGUAAGUUCCUUCCUGCCUGACUUAAAUGCAAUUGUGUGCAAACAUGUUACUUGGAGCUACAGCAACGAUUCUGUGACCAUGAGGCAAUAAGCCAAGGACAAAGGAUAGAAUAGUGAAAAGACAGAGUAUUGGAUUUUUUUUAUGAUAUCAUUGAACUGCUGGACCAAUGUGGAACCAU